GCCCGGAUAGCUCAGUCGGUAGAGCAGGGGAUUGAAAAUCCCCGUGUCCUUGGUUCG
This 57-nucleotide transfer RNA is filed under the name Cronobacter malonaticus. RNAcentral describes it as "tRNA-Phe". It matches the Rfam family "tRNA", at positions 1 to 55 of the family's 71-position model. From Rfam's summary of the family: Transfer RNA (tRNA) molecules are approximately 80 nucleotides in length. Their secondary structure includes four short double-helical elements and three loops (D, anti-codon, and T loops). Lineage: Bacteria; Pseudomonadati; Pseudomonadota; Gammaproteobacteria; Enterobacterales; Enterobacteriaceae. The record is from RNAcentral.